CCUACGGGUGGCAGCAGUGGGGAAUAUUGCACAAUGGGGGAAACCCUGAUGCAGCGACGCCGCGUGAGCGAGGAAGUAUUUCGGUAUGUAAAGCUCUAUCAGCCGGGACGCAAAAAGACGGUACCUGACUAAGAAGCCCCGGCUAACUACGUGCCAGCAGCCGCGGUAAUACGUAGGGGGCAAGCGUUAUCCGGAUUUACUGGGUGUAAAGGGAGCGUAGACGGCAAGGCAAGCCAGAAGUGAAAGGGCAUGGCUCAACCCUGUACAUGCUUUUGGAACUGUGGUGCUAGAGUGCAGGAGAGGUAAGUGGAAUUCCUAGUGUAGCGGUGAAAUGCGGAGAUAUUAGGAGGAACACCAGUGGCGAAGGCGGCUUACUGGACUGUAACUGACGUUGAGGCUCGAAAGCGUGGGGAGCGAACAGGAUUAGAUACCCUUGUAGUC
This 441-nucleotide ribosomal RNA is filed under the name uncultured bacterium. RNAcentral describes it as "partial 16S ribosomal RNA". It matches the Rfam family "Bacterial small subunit ribosomal RNA", at positions 338 to 795 of the family's 1533-position model. The record is from RNAcentral.